RNAcentral lists this unclassified non-coding RNA (240 nucleotides) under soil metagenome. RNAcentral's name for it is "partial contains 5.8S ribosomal RNA, internal transcribed spacer 2, and large subunit ribosomal RNA". The record is from RNAcentral.
AACGAGGCCGACCUGCGGCUGAGUUACCUGCGGAGGGAUCAUUAACAUUUUUGGAGGUAGGCUGUAUAAGUCUGGUUGGUAACAACUAGCAUGGCCCCUCUGAUUUGUACCCUUGUCUAUUUGCGCACUUAUGUUUCCUCGGUGGGCUUGCCUGCCGAUUGGACAAACUUAUAACCUUUUUAAUUGUUAAAUCAGCGUCUGAAACAAACAUAAUAAUUACAACUUUUAACAAUGGAUCUC